CCUGUGCCGGGCGUGGAACGGCACCGCCGCCUUGUCAGCCAAAGGCCCGUUCCCUCAGCACAACGCCGUGGCUUCCGCCCAGUCCCUGAAGAGUCACGCUCUUCGGUUAGGGCGUCCAUCGGCGCGCCGAUGGCUGCGGAGCAAAUAUACAGGGAGGUGCAGGAUUACUAUGGCAAAGAGUUGAAGAAAACAGAAGAUCUAAAAACCAGUGCCUGCCUUACUUCAACAAGACCUUUGCCCACACAUGUCAGAGAAGCACUGCAAUGUGUGCAUGAGGAGGUUUCAGCAAAGUACUAUGGUUGUGGCCUGGUAAUUCCAGAAUGUCUAAAAGACUGCUGCAUAUUGGAUUUGGGCAGUGGGAGUGGCAGAGACUGCUAUAUGCUCAGUAAGCUGGUUGGGGAGAAUGGCCAUGUCACUGGGGUAGACAUGACUGAAACACAGGUAGAAGUAGCAAAGAAAUACAUUGAUCAUCACACAAAAAAAUUUGGGUAUUGGAAGCCUAAUGUAAACUUUAUCCAUGGUUACAUGGAAAAACUGGGUGAAGCAGGCCUGAAGAAUGGAAGCUAUGAUCUUAUAAUCUCCAAUUGUGUGGUUAACCUCUCUCCUGAUAAACGUGUUGUCCUGCAUGAGGCUUAUCGAAUCUUAAAGGCAGGUGGGGAGAUGUAUUUCAGUGAUGUGUAUGCCAGUCAUGACCUGCCAGAGAUGAUCAGGAAACAUAGAAUCUUGUGGGGUGAGUGCCUAGGGGGAGCCUUGUAUUGGAAAGAUCUCUAUGGAAUCGCCAAGGAAGUUGGAUUCUGCCCACCUCGGUUGGUGACUGCCUCCCGGAUAACCCUCGCCAACAAGGAGCUGGAAAGUCUUGUGGGUGAUUGCCAGUUUGUUUCUGCUACUUUCCGUCUCUUCAAGAUCCUGAAGGAAUGCUCAGCUGGCCGGUGUGAAGUUAUUUACAAAGGAGGCAUCACUGGCCAUGAGAGAGAACUAGAAUUUGACAUUAACUACAAUUUCAAGCAAGGAGAAGUGGUGGACGUGGAUGAGGAGACAGCAGCUGUUUUGCAGAACUCAAGAUUUUCUAGGAAGUUCCUGAUCCAUCCAGUGGGGCAGAACAUGCCAGCCCCAGAAGGCUGUACUCCCAGGAAACUAAAGCACCAUCAAGAAGGAUGCAGACAAGCUGGAGCGUGUUCAGAGGAGGGCAACCAGGAUGAUCAGGGGUCUGGAAGCAAAGCCCUAUGAAGAGAGACUGAAAGAACUGGGCCUGUUUAGCCUGGAGAAGAGAAGAUUGAGGGGAGACAUGAUAGCACUCUUCAAAUACUUAAAAGGAGAAGAUCAGGGAUCCAUUUAAAUUAGUGGAGCAGAUAGAGGCAAAAGUCCCUGCCCA
Molecule: RNA transcript, 1372 nt
Organism: Elgaria multicarinata webbii
Lineage: Eukaryota; Metazoa; Chordata; Lepidosauria; Squamata; Anguidae
Gene: AS3MT
Gene name: arsenite methyltransferase
Exons: 12
Source: RefSeq, a predicted model, not a curated record